UACGUAGGGCGCGAGCGUUAAUCGGAAUUACUGGGCGUAAAGCGUGCGCAGGCGGUGAUGUAAGACCGAUGUGAAAUCCCCGGGCUUAACCUGGGAACUGCAUUUGUGACUGCAUCGCUGGAGUGCGGCAGAGGGGGAUGGAAUUCCGCGUGUAGCAGUGAAAUGCGUAGAUAUGCGGAGGAACACCGAUGGCGAAGGCAAUCCCCUGGGCCUGCACUGACGCUCAUGCACGAAAGCGUGGGGAGCAAACAGG
This 253-nucleotide ribosomal RNA is filed under the name uncultured bacterium. RNAcentral describes it as "partial 16S ribosomal RNA". It matches the Rfam family "Bacterial small subunit ribosomal RNA", at positions 524 to 776 of the family's 1533-position model. The record is from RNAcentral.